UGUCAAUUUAAGGGUGCAGCGGCCCGUGGUUUUAAGCAUAAACACUAGGAAAGGGUGACCUCUGCGGGGCCAGCCCCUCCGGACCCAUUUCACGGCCUUCGGAGUCCAAGUGGGCGCUCACUGAUUCUGGACCAUUUAACUGACUGGUCUGCACUGAGCCGGGGAAGCUGAGCGCCAAGACUGCUCAGGUGGGACCCCAGUUGAUCUUUCUGCAGGUGGUCGUUCUGCAGCUGGCUUGCACCGAUAGGAAAAGGCGUCUGCUGGGGGUGCAAAACUGCGGGCAAGGACCCCCGAGGAAGCAGGUGCAAGCGCCGGGAACUCAGAGAAGCGAGGGCUGGGGCUCACCUCCUGCCUCUUCGCAGCCUCAGUUGUCACCACCGCCCUGCCAGUCUGCCCUUCGCGGCUGCAUCCCCCGCACCAUCGGGCCGCCCCUCUGGAUUACUCAUUCUCCCUGCCCACUCGUGGCCGCCCGUGUGUGGGCAUAGCCUGGAGGCUCUCGUCGUGCGUGACCCAUAUCCCUCGCGAUCGCCCGGUCUGUGGCAGCCACGCUGGGCGCUCCAUGUCCCGCCCCGGUACCAGGCGCGCAGUUUCCAGCUCAGGCCCGGGAGCGCACACCCCGAGGCUCCCGUAUCCGCGGUCGGGGAGGGCCUGGGCUGUGUGCUCGUGUCUGAACGUCUGAGGACCCUCAGAUUCUCACAGGGCCCGGAUUCCGUAGGGACCGUCCACUUGGAGCCGUUGACCUUGACCCUCUUGGGCCCUCAAGACAGAGACUGUGCGGCAUGGAGCUGGCCUUCCCAGCUGAUGCUGGCUCGAUAUUUCGAAGACCCUGUGAACAGAAGCUGGGCCCUCACUGAGCAUGUAGAAGUGGCCCAGUUCAGUACAAUGGCAUGUGAAAAACCAGACUGAGCAAUUUUGGAGGAGGUGAAUCACUGGAUUACUCAUGCCUAGAUGAUGAAGAUGAUCCAUUAUGGGAACCAUGGAAAAAAUUGUGGCGCAUACUGGAGAGCUGACAGUGAACAGGCAGGCACAGCACCACGAAGACCUACUGUGACAACAGGAAAACAGAGAAGGUGUCGACUGUGCUCGAUAAGAAAGGACAAGAAAGAAAACGGGUGCCAUCAGUGCAACACUUGUGCAUAGGACAUGCAGUUAUAUGUGGGGCUGCCUUGGGUGUGGCGGUGGAAGCCAAGCUUGUUUUUGUGAUAGAAUUCUGUUGGUGUUUUCGUUGUAGUUCACACGGGAAUUUACUUCUGAUGUUAUCUUUUGGGUUUUGUGAGCAAGUACAAGCUGGUUUGAAAAUGUUGAUAUCUAUUCUAAACGUACAAUACAUUGAAUUUAAUACUUUAUUUUAUUGAUACUUUAUGUUUCUGUUAACUACACCUUAUACAAUAUAACAAGAACCUCCUGACAAAAUAGGAAGGGCACUGAGGUGUCAGGUGUGGCCUACAGACAGGCCAGGAAAGCUAAACACAUGUGCUGUCAGUGUAAGCGAUGUGUGUGUGGGCCGCCAUGUGUGCAGACUGCUUUAGCUGUGGUAACUAAAGAUUAUUUUUGUGUAUCCUGUAUUGAUAUUUUUAUUGUAGCUCAUAUAAGAAUUUAUUUGUGUUGUUCUUUUUUCUUUUUUUUUUUUUUCUGGUACCUCUUUUUUCUUUUUUUUUUCUGGUACCAGGGAUCGAACUCAUGACUAUGCACUUGCCAGGCAGGCACUUACGUCACUGAGCUAAAUCCCCUGCCCUGUGUUCUUUUGUAGUCUGAGCACAACAAAAAAUUCAACGUUGGAAAUUUUGAUGCUUUUUAAAAUAAAUGUUCAAUAAAUAUUAGAAAUUAAA
Molecule: long non-coding RNA, 1829 nt
Organism: Cavia porcellus (domestic guinea pig)
Lineage: Eukaryota; Metazoa; Chordata; Mammalia; Rodentia; Caviidae
Exons: 4
Source: RefSeq, a predicted model, not a curated record